UAAUGAGGUUUCACUCUCACAGAAGAUCUUUGAUUAUAUACUUUUUUGGUGUAAAUGUUAAGCUUUGAUUAUAUACUUCAUUACUAUGUACUUGUGAUCGUUAAUUAAUUUCAUGGAUUAAAGGGUCAAUGUUCAGGCUUGUUUCACAUUGUCAAAUUAAAACCCAACAUCUACCAACUUUCUGUUUAUUCGUUGACUAUAUAAACAGUCGACUAUAUAAACUAAGGUUCCAUAUAAGUCGCAGCAUAUCGUAUACAAAAUUCAUAUCCUAUAUUUAUGUGACACUGUCAACGAGUGUAGCUAAGCCAUGGCCAAAAU
Molecule: long non-coding RNA, 318 nt
Filed under: Brassica napus (rape)
Lineage: Eukaryota; Viridiplantae; Streptophyta; Magnoliopsida; Brassicales; Brassicaceae
Description: long non-coding RNA (BNAP_LNC001310)
Source: RNAcentral